RNAcentral lists this ribosomal RNA (403 nucleotides) under uncultured bacterium. RNAcentral's name for it is "bacterial SSU rRNA". It matches the Rfam family "Bacterial small subunit ribosomal RNA", at positions 356 to 773 of the family's 1533-position model. The record is from RNAcentral.
AGGGAAUAUUGCGCAAUGGGGGAAACCCUGACGCAGCGACGCCGCGUGAGUGAUGAAGGCCUUCGGGUCGUAAAGCUCUGUUGCAAGGGAAUAAAAAAAUGAAUGUACCUUGUGAGGAAGGAUCGGCUAACUUCGUGCCAGCAGCCGCGGUAAGACGAGGGAUCCUAGCGUUGUUCGGAAUCAUUGGGCGUAAAGAGGGCGUAGGUGGCUAGGUAAGUCAGGUGUGAAAGCCCAGGGCUCAACCCUGGAAGUGCAUUUGAUACUGCUUAGCUUGAGUGUUGGAGAGGUUAUCGGAAUACCUGGUGUAGUGGUGAAAUACGUAGAUAUCAGGUGGAACACCGGAGGCGAAGGCGGGUAACUGGCCAAACACUGACACUGAGGCCCGAAAGCGUGGGGAUCAAAC